This 462-nucleotide ribosomal RNA is filed under the name uncultured bacterium. Its description in RNAcentral is "bacterial SSU rRNA". It matches the Rfam family "Bacterial small subunit ribosomal RNA", at positions 917 to 1382 of the family's 1533-position model. The record is from RNAcentral.
GGGCCCGCACAAGCGGUGGAGCAUGUGGUUCAAUUCGACGCAACGCGCAGAACCUUACCUGGUCUUGACAUCCUCGGAACCUGCCAGAGAUGGUGGGGUGCCCGCAAGGGAACCGAGAGACAGGUGCUGCAUGGCUGUCGUCAGCUCGUGUCGUGAGAUGUUGGGUUAAGUCCCGCAACGAGCGCAACCCUCGCCUUUAGUUGCCACGCAAGUGGAUCUCUAGAGGGACUGCCGGUGUUAAACCGGAGGAAGGUGGGGAUGACGUCAAGUCCUCAUGGCCUUUAUGACCAGGGCUACACACGUGCUACAAUGGCCGGUACAAAGCGCUGCCAACCCGCGAGGGGGAGCCAAUCGCAUAAAACCGGUCUCAGUUCAGAUUGGAGUCUGCAACUCGACUUCAUGAAGGCGGAAUCGCUAGUAAUCGUAGAUCAGCACGCUACGGUGAAUACGUUCCCGGGCCUU